This is a long non-coding RNA of Lolium rigidum, 966 nucleotides long. RefSeq lists it as uncharacterized. The transcript is spliced from 5 exons. NCBI's taxonomy places the organism in Eukaryota, Viridiplantae, Streptophyta, Magnoliopsida, Poales, Poaceae. The record is from RefSeq and is a predicted model, not a curated record.
GCAGCGGUGUCGCCGCCGCCGCCGACGGUGGCCUCGCCCAAGGCCGAUUCACUGGUGGACCUCCUCGAGGUGCCCGAUCUGAGUCAAUGCCACGCUCCAGCAUCACCUCCUCCAGCUUUGUCGCGGCGAGGACGGGAUCGGCCGAUGCGGCAUCAAGGCCUUCAGGGCGACAACGACAACACGCUAGACCUUUGGUCUCUGUACCGAUGGGACCAGGUCUCCCUUUCAUCGCCACCGAGUCUCACUGCCUCCGCCGUCCCCGGAGUUCGAUCUGGACCUUCUCCUCGACCCAGGGUCUCACACGGUUUAGCCCCUGAUGCAUAUUGAAGCAACGCAUUCAACAGUUGGGCUUUUGGACCAGAAUAGAAGGAAUGAGCUUUAUUUACUGGAUUGGUUGAGAGCUGGGUUUGGCUUUUAGGUCUGCUAGCUACUAUCGGUGGCACACCACAUGCAUCUCCACUUAAGACCUCCCCAACGCCCAAGGUAGCUGGCCUUUACAAAUAUUUUGUUGCUCAUUCUCUAUCCUAUACUGAAGUUGAUCUUGCUCAUGGCAGCUCAGAUGCAUUUCUGCUAAAAUCAUUACAUCUUGUGCUAGAGGAGUAAUAACUGCCGAUUCUUGUGCUGAUUCUCGUUAUGAAAGUUGUAUCUAUUAUGCUAUCUAGAGACAUUACUUGGAUCAUAGAUUAAAUCUCAUCGGUUCAUUUUGCCAUUUUGCUCUACAGUUUGUUCACACAUACAUUACAGUCUUGUGUUAUUCAGUAUGCAGCACGGCAUUUUCUUCUGUGGAGUCAAGUGAUAGUGUUAAGGAGUAUUAGUAUUGGGAAAAUCUUGAGCAAUUUCGAGUUGGUUUCACAUAUUUUGAUUAUCUUUAUGGGACUAGCAUAAGUAAACUUGGAUCUGUACCAAUAGAGGAGGGGAUGUCCUGUGAGACCAAGGUUGCGGCGGUAGCGCACUAUCGUGCUAGCG